CCUACGGGGUGCAGCAGUGGGGAAUAUUGCACAAUGGGGGAAACUCUGAUGCAGCGACGUCGCGUGAGUGAAGAAGUAAUUCGUUACGUAAAGCUCUAUUAGCAGGGAAGAAAAUGACGGUACCUGAGUAAGAAGCCACGGCUAACUACGUGCCAGCCGCCGCGGUAAUACGUAGGGGGCAAGCGUGAUCCGGAUUUACUGGGUGUAAAGGGAGCGUAGACGGUGCGCCAAGUCUGGAGUGAAAUGCCGCAGCUUAACUGCGGAACUGCUUUGGAAACUGGCGAACUAGAGUGCGGGAGGGGUAGGCGGAAUUCCUGGUGUAGCGGUGAAAUGCGUAGAUAUUAGGAAGAACACCGGUGGCGAAGGCGGCUUACUGGACCGUAACUGACGUUGAGGCUCGAAGGCGUGGGGAGCGAACAGGAUUAGAUACCCUUGUAGUC
Molecule: ribosomal RNA, 440 nt
Filed under: uncultured bacterium
Lineage: Bacteria
Description: partial 16S ribosomal RNA
Rfam family: Bacterial small subunit ribosomal RNA
Source: RNAcentral